RNAcentral lists this ribosomal RNA (2814 nucleotides) under Klebsiella pneumoniae. RNAcentral's name for it is "bacterial LSU rRNA". It matches the Rfam family "Bacterial large subunit ribosomal RNA". The record is from RNAcentral. Lineage: Bacteria; Pseudomonadati; Pseudomonadota; Gammaproteobacteria; Enterobacterales; Enterobacteriaceae.
UUAAGCGACUAAGCGUACACGGUGGAUGCCCUGGCAGUCAGAGGCGAUGAAGGACGUGCUAAUCUGCGAAAAGCGUCGGUAAGGUGAUAUGAACCGUUAUAACCGGCGAUGUCCGAAUGGGGAAACCCAGUGCAAUUCGUUGCACUAUCGUUAACUGAAUACAUAGGUUAACGAGGCGAACCGGGGGAACUGAAACAUCUAAGUACCCCGAGGAAAAGAAAUCAACCGAGAUUCCCCCAGUAGCGGCGAGCGAACGGGGAGCAGCCCAGAGUCUGAAUCAGCUUGUGUGUUAGUGGAACGGUCUGGAAAGUCCGACGGUACAGGGUGAUAGUCCCGUACACCAAAAUGCACAGGUUGUGAACUCGAAGAGUAGGGCGGGACACGUGGUAUCCUGUCUGAAUAUGGGGGGACCAUCCUCCAAGGCUAAAUACUCCUGACUGACCGAUAGUGAACCAGUACCGUGAGGGAAAGGCGAAAAGAACCCCGGCGAGGGGAGUGAAAAAGAACCUGAAACCGUGUACGUACAAGCAGUGGGAGCACCUUCGGGUGUGACUGCGUACCUUUUGUAUAAUGGGUCAGCGACUUAUAUUCUGUAGCAAGGUUAACCGUAUAGGGGAGCCGCAGGGAAACCGAGUCUUAACUGGGCGUUAAGUUGCAGGGUAUAGACCCGAAACCCGGUGAUCUAGCCAUGGGCAGGUUGAAGGUUGGGUAACACUAACUGGAGGACCGAACCGACUAAUGUUGAAAAAUUAGCGGAUGACUUGUGGCUGGGGGUGAAAGGCCAAUCAAACCGGGAGAUAGCUGGUUCUCCCCGAAAGCUAUUUAGGUAGCGCCUCGUGAACUCAUCUUCGGGGGUAGAGCACUGUUUCGGCUAGGGGGUCAUCCCGACUUACCAACCCGAUGCAAACUACGAAUACCGAAGAAUGUUAUCACGGGAGACACACGGCGGGUGCUAACGUCCGUCGUGAAGAGGGAAACAACCCAGACCGCCAGCUAAGGUCCCAAAGUCAUGGUUAAGUGGGAAACGAUGUGGGAAGGCACAGACAGCCAGGAUGUUGGCUUAGAAGCAGCCAUCAUUUAAAGAAAGCGUAAUAGCUCACUGGUCGAGUCGGCCUGCGCGGAAGAUGUAACGGGGCUAAACCAUGCACCGAAGCUGCGGCAGCGACACUAUGUGUUGUUGGGUAGGGGAGCGUUCUGUAAGCCUGCGAAGGUGUGCUGUGAGGCAUGCUGGAGGUAUCAGAAGUGCGAAUGCUGACAUAAGUAACGAUAAAGCGGGUGAAAAGCCCGCUCGCCGGAAGACCAAGGGUUCCUGUCCAACGUUAAUCGGGGCAGGGUGAGUCGACCCCUAAGGCGAGGCCGAAAGGCGUAGUCGAUGGGAAACAGGUUAAUAUUCCUGUACUUGGUGUUACUGCGAAGGGGGGACGGAGAAGGCUAUGUUAGCCGGGCGACGGUUGUCCCGGUUUAAGCAUGUAGGCUGGUUGUCCAGGCAAAUCCGGAUAAUCAAGGCUGAGGUGUGAUGACGAGGCACUACGGUGCUGAAGUAACAAAUGCCCUGCUUCCAGGAAAAGCCUCUAAGCAUCAGGUAACAUCAAAUCGUACCCCAAACCGACACAGGUGGUCAGGUAGAGAAUACCAAGGCGCUUGAGAGAACUCGGGUGAAGGAACUAGGCAAAAUGGUGCCGUAACUUCGGGAGAAGGCACGCUGGUGUGUAGGUGAAGCCCCUGCGGGUGGAGCUGAGACCAGUCGAAGAUACCAGCUGGCUGCAACUGUUUAUUAAAAACACAGCACUGUGCAAACACGAAAGUGGACGUAUACGGUGUGACGCCUGCCCGGUGCCGGAAGGUUAAUUGAUGGGGUUAUCCGUAAGGAGAAGCUCUUGAUCGAAGCCCCGGUAAACGGCGGCCGUAACUAUAACGGUCCUAAGGUAGCGAAAUUCCUUGUCGGGUAAGUUCCGACCUGCACGAAUGGCGUAAUGAUGGCCAGGCUGUCUCCACCCGAGACUCAGUGAAAUUGAACUCGCUGUGAAGAUGCAGUGUACCCGCGGCAAGACGGAAAGACCCCGUGAACCUUUACUAUAGCUUGACACUGAACAUUGAGCCUUGAUGUGUAGGAUAGGUGGGAGGCUUUGAAGCGUGGACGCCAGUCUGCGUGGAGCCAACCUUGAAAUACCACCCUUUAAUGUUUGAUGUUCUAACGUUGGCCCCUGACCGGGGUUGCGGACAGUGUCUGGUGGGUAGUUUGACUGGGGCGGUCUCCUCCCAAAGCGUAACGGAGGAGCACGAAGGUUAGCUAAUCCUGGUCGGACAUCAGGAGGUUAGUGCAAUGGCAUAAGCUAGCUUGACUGCGAGCGUGACGGCGCGAGCAGGUGCGAAAGCAGGUCAUAGUGAUCCGGUGGUUCUGAAUGGAAGGGCCAUCGCUCAACGGAUAAAAGGUACUCCGGGGAUAACAGGCUGAUACCGCCCAAGAGUUCAUAUCGACGGCGGUGUUUGGCACCUCGAUGUCGGCUCAUCACAUCCUGGGGCUGAAGUAGGUCCCAAGGGUAUGGCUGUUCGCCAUUUAAAGUGGUACGCGAGCUGGGUUUAGAACGUCGUGAGACAGUUCGGUCCCUAUCUGCCGUGGGCGCUGGAGAAUUGAGGGGGGCUGCUCCUAGUACGAGAGGACCGGAGUGGACGCAUCACUGGUGUUCGGGUUGUCAUGCCAAUGGCACUGCCCGGUAGCUAAAUGCGGAAGAGAUAAGUGCUGAAAGCAUCUAAGCACGAAACUUGCCCCGAGAUGAGUUCUCCCUGAGACUUUAAGUCUCCUGAAGGAACGUU